Molecule: long non-coding RNA, 763 nt
Organism: Magnolia sinica
Lineage: Eukaryota; Viridiplantae; Streptophyta; Magnoliopsida; Magnoliales; Magnoliaceae
Exons: 4
Source: RefSeq, a predicted model, not a curated record
UAAGUCCAGACGUUCCCAAGUAGCUGAUGCCAUAACGAGUGGGCUCUUCCGAUGUGAACAUGAUCACCUCCAAUGUUCUUUUGGGCUUGAAACCAGACCUAUGAAACAGCUCAGUGAGCACAAUACAGUCAAAAUAUAGCUGUAUAAAUCUAGUUCUUUGUGAUAAAAUCAAAAUGAAAGUUGUGUUCCUCAAAGUUUCUAUACUUUCCAUUCAUGCAAAUAUUUCAAAACUAAUCUAGUCAUAUAAACAUGUUUGUUAAGACUACGACCCCAAGAAAGACAUAUAUUUUUCCCUCCUAGCUGAGUUCCAUUCAACAUCAGUAAAGCCUCCUCUGCACAAGCCUCCUAAUUAGUAUUGAUGUGUGCAACAGAUGAAGAUGAAUAUGAUACGAAUGGGGAUGAAGGCCCUGUUCGAGUGCUAACAGGUAUGUGGAUCUAAACCAGAUAGGCAGUGCAGGUGGAUCCUCUCCCACCAAAUAAAUCCAUCGCAUUUCCAAGCCUUGGCAUGCUUUCAGGAAGUCACCAACGGAUAUUUCCAAGAAAAGAAAUAUGUGUUUCUUUCAAAGUGAUUUUGGGUGUUAUUCUCCACGCAUUUCGCAAAUGAUCAAGGCAUUUAUUGUAGAAGGUCAUCAAAUAAGUUUCCUACUAGCUAGAUAGACAGGAGAGGCCUAGCCAAUCAGAGCUUAGCUGUGUCAGUUGUUGCAAGCCCAAUGACACCAGACCUCAGUUUUUCGAGUGUGUUCCUUGUAGUACUCUAUGUCUA